CCUUUAGAGUUUGGGUUUCUGCUCAGGACGAACGCUGGCGGCGUGCCUAAUACAUGCAAGUCGAGCGAAUGAUGAGGAAGCUUGCUUCCUCUGAUUUAGCGGCGGACGGGUGAGUAACACGUGGGCAACCUACCUUAUAGUUUGGGAUAACUCCGGGAAACCGGGGCUAAUACCAAAUAAUCUCUUUUACUUCAUGGUGAAAGACUAAAAGACGGUUUCGGCUGUCGCUAUAGGAUGGGCCCGCGGCGCAUUAGCUAGUUGGUGAGGUAACGGCUCACCAAGGCAACGAUGCGUAGCCGACCUGAGAGGGUGAUCGGCCACACUGGGACUGAGACACGGCCCAGACUCCUACGGGAGGCAGCAGUAGGGAAUCUUCCACAAUGGGCGAAAGCCUGAUGGAGCAACGCCGCGUGAGUGAAGAAGGAUUUCGGUUCGUAAAACUCUGUUGUAAGGGAAGAACAAGUACAGUAGUAACUGGCUGUACCUUGACGGUACCUUAUUAGAAAGCCACGGCUAACUACGUGCCAGCAGCCGCGGUAAUACGUAGGUGGCAAGCGUUGUCCGGAAUUAUUGGGCGUAAAGCGCGCGCAGGUGGUUUCUUAAGUCUGAUGUGAAAGCCCACGGCUCAACCGUGGAGGGUCAUUGGAAACUGGGAGACUUGAGUGCAGAAGAGGAUAGUGGAAUUCCAAGUGUAGCGGUGAAAUGCGUAGAGAUUUGGAGGAACACCAGUGGCGAAGGCGACUAUCUGGUCUGUAACUGACACUGAGCGCGAAAGCUACGCG
Molecule: ribosomal RNA, 782 nt
Filed under: Lysinibacillus cavernae
Lineage: Bacteria; Bacillati; Bacillota; Bacilli; Caryophanales; Bacillaceae
Description: bacterial SSU rRNA
Rfam family: Bacterial small subunit ribosomal RNA
Source: RNAcentral